This 173-nucleotide ribosomal RNA is filed under the name Listeria monocytogenes. RNAcentral's name for it is "partial 23S ribosomal RNA". It matches the Rfam family "Bacterial large subunit ribosomal RNA", at positions 2755 to 2925 of the family's 2925-position model. Lineage: Bacteria; Bacillati; Bacillota; Bacilli; Caryophanales; Listeriaceae. The record is from RNAcentral.
GUGGCAGGGAUAAACGCUGAAAGCAUCUAAGCGUGAAGCCCCCCUCAAGAUGAGAUUUCCCAUUUCUUCGGAAAGUAAGAUCCCUGAAAGAUGAUCAGGUAGAUAGGUUUGGAGUGGAAGUGUAGCGAUACAUGGAGCGGACAAAUACUAAUCGAUCGAGGACUUAACCAAAA